GGUUAAGCGACUAAGCGUACACGGUGGAUGCCCUGGCAGUCAGAGGCGAUGAAGGACGUGCUAAUCUGCGAUAAGCGUCGGUAAGGUGAUAUGAACCGUUAUAACCGGCGAUUUCCGAAUGGGGAAACCCAGUGUGAUUCGUCACACUAUCAUUAACUGAAUCCAUAGGUUAAUGAGGCGAACCGGGGGAACUGAAACAU
Molecule: ribosomal RNA, 200 nt
Filed under: Escherichia coli
Lineage: Bacteria; Pseudomonadati; Pseudomonadota; Gammaproteobacteria; Enterobacterales; Enterobacteriaceae
Also listed under: 1 other name
Description: partial 23S ribosomal RNA
Rfam family: Bacterial large subunit ribosomal RNA
Source: RNAcentral